CAGUUAUUGCUAGAAAAUGACACCAAGGCUAGCAAAGACCUCUGAAAUUCACAGACAUUCAGAAACCCAAUUCCGUCAACUAUUUGAACCAAAUGAAUUAACCCAGAUAAAGGGAAUUAAACUUGAUUUUUCCCUUCCUCCCAACUGACUAAAACAGGUGUCAAAGAGAGGCAACAGCAGAAAAGUGGUAGGGGGCAGAAGAGGGAGGGGUUUAAAAGGUGCUCAGUUAGACUGUGGCUCUGAAUCACAGUAAAACUGGCUGUUCUGGGUACUGAGUUACUUAAGAAAUAACUGACACUAUUCUAAUCCACAGGGACAUAAUGAAAGCAUCACAUUAGUAGAAUGAGGGGACAGCUGAGCAGACACCAGAAACCACACCAAGGAUUCUACUCGAGAUCUCAAUGUGGGAUUCAGGUCUUAGCAACCAAAAUCUGAAAACGCUCCUAAAGGGGAUGAAAAGCCAUUUGGACAUCCAUGACAGUUCCUGGAGGUGAAGUAUUACAGGACAUGAACGGCAAAUGAAAACCUUCAUUAGGAGAAAGCCUAGGACAAAUAAUAGGGACAGAGCAACUCAACACCAUUAGUAAAGGACAAUUCAGAAUCACCAAUUCCACUGGACAAAGCGUCAACACAGAACUACUACACCUGAAGGCUGGGACCAUGCUCUUUGUCCAAUACUGCAACUAGAGAAACCAGAUAUUCUAAUCUCUCUUGAUUCUUCCAAUGUUCUCUGGCCCACCUACGUGUACUUAAGAGAUUUUGGCUAGCAAGGCAGAAAAAAGUGACACAAAAGUUUUAUGAUCAGUAACACUCCAUGUCUCCAGAAUUAUAUCCCUAGGAGGUGGAAUGCCAAAAAACAUUUCUGUUUUGAACACCAUGAUACACAGCAGAAGGAGGGGGAAAAAACAUGUAGAUAUUGCCCUUCGGCUUAAAAUCCAGUCCUGCUCAAAUGACAUCACUUAAAAUACCCUUGAUGGAGCUCAAAAAGCUGGUCCUUUCUUCCAAGAUGGAUGCCUGGAACAAUGAUUCCUUCCCAAUAAUCCUAGUGCAGUGUCAUUUGUACAGUGGUUUCCUAAAGAGGUCCUGGUGCAGAGAUGUCAGCAGUAUUUCUGUCAGCAACCAGAAAAAAAAAAAAACAAAAACUGAGUAAAACACACGCUUUGCACAACAAAAAAAUACCCAUGUCCACAUUCAUGGCUUACAGUGCAGCUCUGGCUGAGUGAUUCAGGUUCCUGAGAUCCCAUCUUACAAUGCAGCUCUGGCUUACCAAAAGUAUCUAAUGGCCCA
Molecule: long non-coding RNA, 1287 nt
Filed under: Pan troglodytes (chimpanzee)
Lineage: Eukaryota; Metazoa; Chordata; Mammalia; Primates; Hominidae
Description: long non-coding RNA NONPTRT009272
Source: RNAcentral